Molecule: ribosomal RNA, 515 nt
Filed under: uncultured bacterium
Lineage: Bacteria
Description: bacterial SSU rRNA
Rfam family: Bacterial small subunit ribosomal RNA
Source: RNAcentral
AGAGUUGAUCAUGGCUCAGAACGAACGCUGGCGGCGCGUUUAAGCAUGCAGUCGAGCGGCAGGGCCUCGGGCCCUAGAGCGGCGGACGGGUGAGUAACACGUGGACAAUCUGCCCCCCGGCCCGGGAUAGCCCAGGGAAACCUGGAUUAAUACCGGAUGAGACGGGACCCGCGAUGGCGGGAUCCGGGAAAGGCGCUGCGGCGCCGCCGGGGGAUGAGUCUGCGUCCCAUUAGCUAGACGGCGGGGUAACGGCCCACCGUGGCGACGAUGGGUAGCCGGCCUGAGAGGGUGGACGGCCACAUUGGAACUGAGACACGGUCCAGACUCCUACGGGAGGCAGCAGCUAAGAAUCUUCCGCAAUGGGCGAAAGCCUGACGGAGCGACGCCCGCGUGAACGAAGAAGGCCGUGAGGUUGUAAAGUUCUUUUCGGGAGGGGGAACAACCGUGGCAGGGAAUGGCCGCGGGAUGACGUGAAUCCCGGAAUAAGCCCCGGCUAACUACGUGCCAGCAGCAGC